CAUGCAAGUCGAACGAAGCGCUUAAACGGAUUUCUUCGGAUUGAAGUUUUUGCGACUGAGUGGCGGACGGGUGAGUAACGCGUGGGUAACCUGCCUCGUACAGGGGGAUAACAGUUAGAAAUGACUGCUAAUACCGCAUAAGCGCACAGUGCUGCAUGGCACAGUGUGAAAAACUCCGGUGGUAUGAGAUGGACCCGCGUCUGAUUAGCUAGUUGGUGGGGUAACGGCCUACCAAGGCGACGAUCAGUAGCCGGCCUGAGAGGGUGAACGGUCACAUUGGGACUGAGACACGGCCCAAACUCCUACGGGAGGCAGCAGUGGGGAAUAUUGCACAAUGGGGGAAACCCUGAUGCAGCGACGCCGCGUGAGCGAAGAAGUAUUUCGGUAUGUAAAGCUCUAUCAGCAGGGAAGAAAAUGACGGUACCUGACUAAGAAGCACCGGCUAAAUACGUGCCAGCAGCCGCGGUAAUACGUAUGGUGCAAGCGUUAUCCGGAUUUACUGGGUGUAAAGGGAGCGUAGACGGUUGUGUAAGUCUGAUGUGAAAGCCCGGGGCUCAACCCCGGGACUGCAUUGGAAACUAUGUAACUAGAGUGUCGGAGAGGUAAGCGGAAUUCCUAGUGUAGCGGUGAAAUGCGUAGAUAUUAGGAGGAACACCAGUGGCGAAGGCGGCUUACUGGACGAUCACUGACGUUGAGGCUCGAAAGCGUGGGGAGCAAACAGGAUUAGAUACCCUGGUAGUCCACGCCGUAAACGAUGACUACUAGGUGUCGGGGAGCAAAGCUCUUCGGUGCCGCAGCAAACGCAAUAAGUAGUCCACUUGGGGAGUACGUUCGCAAGAAUGAAACUCAAAGG
Molecule: ribosomal RNA, 853 nt
Filed under: uncultured bacterium
Lineage: Bacteria
Description: bacterial SSU rRNA
Rfam family: Bacterial small subunit ribosomal RNA
Source: RNAcentral